GUGCCAGCCGCCGCGGUAAUACGAGAGGCCCAAACGUUAUUCGGAAUUACUGGGCUUAAAGAGUUCGUAGGCGGCGCAGAAAGUAGGGUGUGAAAUCCCUCGGCUCAACCGAGGAAUUGCGCUCUAAACUACUGUGCUCGAGGGACCUAGAGGUAAGCGGAACUGAUGGUGGAGCGGUGAAAUGCGUUGAUAUCAUCAGGAACACCGGAGGCGAAGGCGGCUUACUGGGGGUCUUCUGACGCUGAGGAACGAAAGCCAGGGGAGCGAACGGGAUUAGAUACCCCUGUAGUCC
Molecule: ribosomal RNA, 292 nt
Filed under: uncultured bacterium
Lineage: Bacteria
Description: partial 16S ribosomal RNA
Rfam family: Bacterial small subunit ribosomal RNA
Source: RNAcentral